Molecule: ribosomal RNA, 253 nt
Filed under: uncultured bacterium
Lineage: Bacteria
Description: partial 16S ribosomal RNA
Rfam family: Bacterial small subunit ribosomal RNA
Source: RNAcentral
GACAGAGGUGCCGAGCGUUAGGCGGAAUCACUGGGCUUAAAGCGUGUGUAGGCGGAUCUGUAAGUACCUUGUGAAAUCCCACGGCUCAACCGUGGAACUGCUUGGUAUACUGCGGGUCUUGAGCCACCUAGGGGCAAGUGGAACAAACGGUGGAGCGGUGAAAUGCGUAGAUAUCGUUUGGAACGCCAAUGGUGAAAACAGCUAGCUGGGGAUGUGCCGACGCUGAGACACGAAAGCCAGGGGAGCGAACGGG